UCCGUAGGGGGCAAGCGUUAUCCGGAAUUACUGGGUUUAAAGGGUGCGUAGGCGGGAAGGUAAGGCGUAGAUGAGAUGGCCGCGCUUAAAGUGGGCCGCUGUCUGCGAUACUGCCUACCUUGAGGGAGGUUGAGGUAGCUGGAACGAGUGGUGUAGCGGUGAAAUGCGUAGAGAUCUCUCAGAACACUAAUUGCGAAGGCAGGCUGCUGGACCUCUUCUUACGCUGAGGCACGAAAGCGUGGGGAGCGAACAGG
Molecule: ribosomal RNA, 254 nt
Filed under: uncultured bacterium
Lineage: Bacteria
Description: partial 16S ribosomal RNA
Rfam family: Bacterial small subunit ribosomal RNA
Source: RNAcentral